CCGUGGCGCUUCCAUUCCGAGGCCGCUCACUUCGAGGAAGCUGCCCGGCUCGAGCACCUUUUCCUCAAAACUACGCUUUAAUUUGUCCGCCCGCGCCUUUCGGCACAUAGUCUCGUCCCCGCCUUCCAGAUAGCCUUCCGGCUUUUUUCUUUCUGCAUUUUCCCCCUGAUUUUCUUUUUUCUUCUGUCGCCACACUCCCCGCAUCGAUUGAUCUCUCUCGACCGGGUCCGACGCCACCACCGUUGCUGCCGUCACUGCCGCCAUAUUCCUCCCGCUCGAAAACCAAACGAAGAACUCUACACCUGGCUAUGGAAGACGGUGUCAAGAAGAAGAUCAUGCAUAAUAGUUAGCCUACUGUACCAGUUUCCACUUAACUUCGUUCAUGGAAAUGUGCAGAAUAAACAUUCAGAGGCCUCACAUUAUCGCCACCAGUGCAAGGAAUACAAAUUCCUCGGCUUCCGAUUCUUGUAUUCUCGUGCUUUUUUAUUUAUUCUCUUUCCCUGGAAAGGUAAAUGUAGACAGGGUAAAAUAAUAAACAUUGUGAGGAUGAA
Rhipicephalus microplus (southern cattle tick) is the source of this 551-nucleotide long non-coding RNA. The record is from RefSeq and is a predicted model, not a curated record. Lineage: Eukaryota; Metazoa; Arthropoda; Arachnida; Ixodida; Ixodidae.